Molecule: ribosomal RNA, 388 nt
Filed under: uncultured bacterium
Lineage: Bacteria
Description: bacterial SSU rRNA
Rfam family: Bacterial small subunit ribosomal RNA
Source: RNAcentral
GACGAACGCUGGCGGCGUGCUUAACACAUGCAAGUCGAGCGGUAAGGCCCUUUCGGGGGUACACGAGCGGCGAACGGGUGAGUAACACGUGGGUGACCUGCCCUCAGCUCUGGGAUAAGCCCGGGAAACCGGGUCUAAUACUGGAUAUGACUCCACGGUGCAUGCCGUGGGGUGGAAAGCCUUGUGCGGCUGAGGAUGGGCCCGCGGCCUAUCAGCUUGUUGGUGGGGUGAUGGCCUACCAAGGCGACGACGGGUAGCCGGCCUGAGAGGGCGACCGGCCACACUGGGACUGAGACACGGCCCAGACUCCUACGGGAGGCAGCAGUGGGGAAUCUUGCGCAAUGGGCGAAAGCCUGACGCAGCGACGCCGCGUGAGGGAUGACGGCCU